UACGUAGGGGGCAAGCGUUGUCCGGAAUCAUUGGGCGUAAAGAGCGCGUAGGCGGCCCUGUAAGUCCGCUGUGAAAGUCAAGGGCUCAACCCUUGAAUGCCGGUGGAUACUGCCGGGCUCGAGUCCGGAAGAGGCGAGUGGAAUUCCUGUGUAGCGGUGGAAUGCGCAGAUAUCAGGAGGAACACCAAUAGCGAAGGCAGCUCGCUGGGACGGUACUGACGCUAAGGCGCGAAAGCGUGGGGAGCGAACAGG
Molecule: ribosomal RNA, 252 nt
Filed under: uncultured bacterium
Lineage: Bacteria
Description: partial 16S ribosomal RNA
Rfam family: Bacterial small subunit ribosomal RNA
Source: RNAcentral